This 484-nucleotide ribosomal RNA is filed under the name uncultured bacterium. RNAcentral describes it as "partial 16S ribosomal RNA". It matches the Rfam family "Bacterial small subunit ribosomal RNA", at positions 30 to 507 of the family's 1533-position model. The record is from RNAcentral.
AUUGAACGCUGGCGGCAGGCCUAACACAUGCAAGUCGAGCGGAUGAAGGGAGCUUGCUCCUGGAUUCAGCGGCGGACGGGUGAGUAAUGCCUAGGAAUCUGCCUGGUAGUGGGGGAUAACGUCCGGAAACGGGCGCUAAUACCGCAUACGUCCUGAGGGAGAAAGUGGGGGAUCUUCGGACCUCACGCUCUCAGAUGAGCCUAGGUCGGAUUAGCUAGUUGGUGGGGUAAAGGCCUACCAAGGCGACGAUACGUAACUGGUCUGAGAGGAUGAUCAGGCACACUGGAACUGAGACACGGUCCAGACUCCUACGGGAGGCAGCAGUGGGGAAUAUUGGACAAUGGGCGAAAGCCUGAUCCAGCCAUGCCGCGUGUGUGAAGAAGGUAUUCGGAUUGUAAAGCACUUUAAGUUGGGAGGAAGGGCAGUAAGUUAAUACCUUGCUGUUUUGACGUUACCAACAGAAUAAGCACCGGCUAACUUCGUG